Molecule: ribosomal RNA, 788 nt
Filed under: uncultured Alphaproteobacteria bacterium
Lineage: Bacteria; Pseudomonadati; Pseudomonadota; Alphaproteobacteria
Description: bacterial SSU rRNA
Rfam family: Bacterial small subunit ribosomal RNA
Source: RNAcentral
CUGGCGGCAUGCCUCAUACAUGCAAGUCGAACGAGAUCUUCGGAUCUAGUGGCGCACGGGUGAGUAACAUGUGGGAAUCUACCUGAAGGUUCGGAAUAACUGCGGGAAACUGUAGCUAAUACUGGAUGUGUCUGCAAAGAGAAAGAUUUAUCGCCUUCAGAUGAGCCCGCACUAGAUUAGCUAGUUGGUGAGGUAACUGCUCCACCAAGGCUACGAUCUAUAGCUGAUUUGAGAGGAUGAUCAGCCACACUGGGACUGAGACACGGCCCAGACUCCUACGGGAGGCAGCAGUAGGGAAUAUUGGACAAUGGGGGAAACCCUGAUCCAGCAAUGCCGCGUGAGUGAAGAAGGCCUUAGGGUUGUAAAACUCUUUCAUCAAUGAUGAUAAUGACAUUAGUUGAAGAAGAAGCUCCGGCUAACUUCGUGCCAGCAGCCGCGGUAAUACGAAGGGGGCUAGCGUUGUUCGGAAUCACUGGGCGUAAAGCGUAUGUAGGCGGAUCAAAAAGUUAGAUGUGAAAUCCCUGGGCUCAACCCAGGAACUGCAUUUAAAACUAGUGAUCUAGAAAUUGGUAAGGGUUAGUAGAAUUUCCAGUGUAGAGGUGAAAUUCGUAGAUAUUGGAAAGAAUACCAGAAGCGAAGGCGACUAACUAGGCCAUUUUUGACGCUGAGAUACGAAAGCGUGGGUAGCAAACAGGAUUAGAUACCCUGGUAGUCCACGCAGUAAACGAUGAGUGCUAGUCGCUGGUACAAUAGUAUCAGUGUCGAAGCUAACGCAUUAAGCACUCCGC